Molecule: ribosomal RNA, 266 nt
Filed under: uncultured prokaryote
Description: partial 16S ribosomal RNA
Rfam family: Bacterial small subunit ribosomal RNA
Source: RNAcentral
CACGUAGGAGGCAAACGUUAUCCGGAUUUACUGGGCGUAAAGCGCGUGUAGGUGGUUCUGUAAGUAGGGCGUGAAAGCUCCCGGCUCAACUGGGAGAGGCCGUUCUAAACUGCAGAGCUAGAGUGUGGUAGGGGAGACUGGAAUUCCUGGUGUAGCGGUGAAAUGCGCAGAUAUCAGGAGGAACACCGAUGGCGAAGGCAGGUCUCUGGGCAGUAACUGACGCUGAGGAGCGAAAGCAUGGGUAGCGAACAGGAUUAGAUACCCCA